Molecule: non-coding RNA, 370 nt
Organism: Paramuricea clavata
Lineage: Eukaryota; Metazoa; Cnidaria; Anthozoa; Malacalcyonacea; Plexauridae
Source: the annotation of a GenBank genome assembly
GGAAACGUUAGUAACCUAUACUAUCAGCUUUCACUGAAUAUUUCUCUGCAUUGCUAGGUAUGACAUAGUUUACUCUACUGUGGUUGAAACAGAUGGUUUGAGAUCGUUUAAUGUCACUGGAACAUCGUCUAAUAAUCUACAUAACCGUACAUUGAUUGUUUCAUUGACUGAUGUAGUCCUACUCAGUUCACUUCCCACGUCUCGACGUAAAGAAUUCCCAGCUUGAUAAGAAUGCAUUACUGUGGGAGGAAAUUAUAAACUAUGGGGGAAGAGAUUGAAAACCUUGAAUAGAAAACGUUGCAACUGAAUUGUUUUGGAGAUAAAGAUAUUUAUAGCCCACAGAUUGAUCAGAAGUUUGUGGAGGUAGGGU